RNAcentral lists this ribosomal RNA (766 nucleotides) under uncultured archaeon. RNAcentral describes it as "bacterial SSU rRNA". It matches the Rfam family "Archaeal small subunit ribosomal RNA", at positions 109 to 879 of the family's 1478-position model. The record is from RNAcentral.
CCCCCUUUUUUAUUGUUUCCCCGGGAACUGGGGAUAAUACCUGAUAGGCUAUGGUUCCUGGAAUGGUCUAUAGCUCAAAUGCGUUAGCGCUUGAGGAUGGGUCUGCGUCUGAUUAGGUUGUUGCCGGUGUAACGUACCGGCAAGCCGAUAAUCAGUACGGGUUGUGAGAGCAAGAGCCCGGAGAUGGAUUCUGAGACAUGAAUCCAGGCCCUACGGGGCGCAGCAGGCGCGAAACCUUCACACUGCGCGCAAGCGCGAUGAGGGAACCUCGAGUGUCGGUGCCAAGCAUCGACUGUCCCGCUGCCUAAACAGCAGCGGUUAGCAAGGGCCGGGCAAGACCGGUGCCAGCCGCCGCGGUAACACCGGCGGCUCGAGUGGUGAUCACUAUUAUUGAGCUUAAAGGGUCCGUAGCCGGUCUGGUAACUCUCUUGGGAAAUCUGGCGGCUUAACCGUCAGGCGUCCGGGAGAAACUGUCAGACUUGGGAGCGGGGGAGGUUGGAGGUACUCCAGGGGUAGAGGUGAAAUUCUGUAAUCCUUGGGGGACCACCAGUGGCGAAGGCGUCCAACCAAAACGCGUCCGACGGUGAGGGACGAAAGCCAGGGGCACGAACCGGAUUAGAUACCCGGGUAGUCCUGGCUGUAAACGAUGCGGGCUAGGUGUCACAAUGGCUACGAGCCACUGUGGUGCCGUAGAGAAAUCGUGAAGCCUGCCGCUUGGGAAGUACGGCCGCAAGGCUGAAACUUGAAGGAAUUGGCGGGGGAGCAC